UACGGAGGGGGCUAGCGUUGUUCGGAAUUACUGGGCGUAAAGAGUACGUAGGUGGUUUGUUAAGUUAGAUGUGAAAGCCCUGGGCUCAACCUAGGAAUAGCAUUUAAUACUGACGAACUAGAGUUUGAGAGGGGAUAGUGGAAUUUCUAGUGUAGAGGUGAAAUUCGUAGAUAUUAGAAGGAACACCAGUGGCGAAGGCG
This 200-nucleotide ribosomal RNA is filed under the name uncultured bacterium. RNAcentral's name for it is "partial 16S ribosomal RNA". It matches the Rfam family "Bacterial small subunit ribosomal RNA", at positions 524 to 723 of the family's 1533-position model. The record is from RNAcentral.